GAUGAACGCUGGCGGCGUGCUUAACACAUGCAAGUCGAACGAUGAAGCCCAGCUUGCUGGGUGGCUUAGUGGCGAACGGGUGAGUAACACGUGAGUAACCUGCCCUUAACUCUGGGAUAAGCCUGGGAAACUGGGUCUAAUACCGGAUAGGAGCGCCUACCGCAUGGUGGGUGUUGGAAAGAUUUAUCGGUUUUGGAUGGACUCGCGGCCUAUCAGCUUGUUGGUGAGGUAAUGGCUCACCAAGGCGACGACGGGUAUCCGGCCUGGGAGGGUGACCGGCCACACUGGGCCUGGGACACGACACAGACUCCUACGGGAGGCAGCGGAGGGGAAGAUUGUACAAGGGGCUAAAGCAUGAUGCAGCGAAGCCGCGUGGGGUAUGUCAGCAUGCGGGUUGUGAAGCUCUGUCAGUAGGGAAGAAGCGAUAGUGACGGUACCGGCAGAAGAAGCACCGGCUAACUACGUG
Molecule: ribosomal RNA, 466 nt
Filed under: uncultured bacterium
Lineage: Bacteria
Description: partial 16S ribosomal RNA
Rfam family: Bacterial small subunit ribosomal RNA
Source: RNAcentral